Molecule: long non-coding RNA, 3225 nt
Organism: Pomacea canaliculata
Lineage: Eukaryota; Metazoa; Mollusca; Gastropoda; Architaenioglossa; Ampullariidae
Exons: 7
Source: RefSeq, a predicted model, not a curated record
AUGUUCCAAGUAUUAAGUCGUGUGGAAUACCUUUCACAUACAGAAGCUCUGUGCAGCACGAGUAUAACCUCGAGCAGGUGAGGCAAGCAGCAGCUCUAAAAAUUUGUCUUCCAGGUCCUGCCGGGUGGGCUGUACACUCAGACAUACAAAGUCAGCUUCCAAAGUCCUUGAGGUCAAGAAUUUCCAUAAAGACCAUGCAAGACCUGCAAGAGGAGGAGGUUGGCAGCUUAGUGCAAGCCAAACAACAGCUCAUCAGUGUUAUUCGUGUAAAGGUCUGAACCCGAUGAGCCAGGGUCACAACCUUUAAAAAUUCUUAUCGUCGGAAAACAGAGCUGCGGCAAAUCCUCUUUCAUCGACUCCAUCGCCGCUGCACUGUCUGAGGAUCGGUGGGUGGAACACGCCAUUGUCGGGUCUCAGGACCACGCCCGACAAGUCACCAACUUUAUUUCUCAAUACAACAAGUGCUGUAACGGCGUCGACCUCAGUACAGAGACACUUCAGCUCCCGACACUCAUUGACGUGCCAGGGCUGCUGGACACAGAACCUGCUGAACAGGUGGAGAAGUUUCUUCGUCUUCUCAUGUACGGACAUAUACAGAACCAGGAGUCCGCCCUCAGUGUGUACGAAAACUGCAACAGGGACUGGGACGAUCUUCUGACGACCUACAGCACAGCAUACGACGACAUGAAGGUGGACCGCGUGGUCUUUGUGGCGUCAGCAGUGGACGACCUGCCUGGACGUCUGAUGGACUGCGUCUUGAACGCCGCCAGACCGCGCAGGGGGGCACCGGGCUACAGGCGCCAAAUUCCUGUCUAUGGAGUGAUCACAAAGAUGGAUCAAAUAAACGACGAAAACAGACAGAAGUUUGAGGAGAGGAAAAUGAGUUGAAGAGAGGCCUUGGUCUGAACGACGUCCGUCUGCUGUGCUGCAGCAACUACUGCGACGACACCGACCCUGACGGGGUACGAAGGGAGAGUCUGAUUCCGGACCUUGAUGUUCCUAUCCUCCGUUUCCUACAGGAGGUUUGUGACCGCAGCAUACAAAUCGUCAACUCAGAUGAUGCUCUCCGCUCCACUUUGAAGAGUUGGAUGCAAGGAUUCUUUCAAAGACACAAGCAGGAGUGUCUGGCAGUGAUUGUGGCCCUUUAUGGAGCUCUUCAAGUCUUCUUACUUGUCUUCGUGGGCCAGUCUUUUAUUAAGACUCCCGAUCCCAUGUCCGACGCCAAGUUAAAGGCCCUCGGAGAUUCGUGUUAUGAGCAAUGCCUUGCCUCUGGAACUGAAGGUGUAACUUUUCAUCUUGCAGCAAUGCUUGCUGUCCCAACUUUCUUCAUUCUUGUAUUCUGUCUCCUCUUCUCUCCUCCCAGUCUAUUUCAAAAGCUUCUGGGAGGAGACAGGCGUAAAUAAACAACUUCGAGAACCACAAAACCGAAAAAUCACAGAAGACUUUUGAGAAUUUCUUAAGUACAGUCUGGGUUUUUUUAAUUGUAUGGGUAGGCGAUACCCAACAGGUAUAAGACAAAAUACUUUUCAAUACACUAAUCAUUCCAUGUUGACCCUAAAUUUUCCCUUUUCUACUGAUGUUUGCUAUAUCAAUGUCUAUAUAUAUAUAUAUGUGUGUGUAUUCCAUCUACACAUUUUACUGCUAAUCUUUAAACAUGCAGGUUUGUGUACAUAUAAUUGCAUUCAUUGUACACAUAUACUUACACACUAACAUAUAUUUGAGGAUGAUGAUAAAAGCUCAAGAAAAUUUCUAGACACUUAUAUUCUUAAUUAUUACCAAAGGAUUAUAAAUGUUACAUAAAUGUUGUAAAUGACACUGACCAGGAUAAGAUGGCACCUAAGCAUCUCUCCUCGCAAAAAAGAGAUUCCGCUUUAAACGGUUUUUAUUCCUUGAACUAACGGUAUACUGAAAACUGAUUUUCUUCAUUGCUUUCUUAACUUGCACGCACAACCCGACACUUUUUUCCUUGGCAAACCAAGCUAUUAUUAUGUUCAUAGGAGGAAGAUCAUUAAUAUUGUCGCUGGUACACUUGUCUUAUUUGACCUGCUGUUGAUGUAGGAGGAGAGUCGUUGAUCUGUUAUGUGGCGGGAUUUUUUUUGGUGUAGUUAAUUCGUUCCUCCAGCUACUGUUCAUUGCUCCUCCACGAGGCUUGCAAAUCCGCAGUGGGGCAUGUUGUAGGGUAACCCUAUGUUUCACUGUUUAUAUUGUACAUUAAGGUUUUUGUUUCAGCUUAUGCUUUUUUAUCUAUCGGUAGUUUACCAUGGGAAAAUGCUUCUCUUCAAUCAUAAUACCUUAACGCUGUAGCUAUGCUUAUUUAUAAUUUUUAAUAUCAAUAUUAUUAUUAGAUAUUUUAUAAUACAUUUUAUUUUUAUUCUCUCCUUAAAGAUUUCCUAACAGUAGGCGCAGAGCGCUUUGGAAAAACAAUGUGUAUUCUUUAUACUUUUUGUAUAAAAGUACACAAAGUGACAAACACAAAGGGCACACCUCAUACACACCAACAGAGAAAACAAACAACAAACAACAACAACAAACUCUGAAAUGCGUAACUGCAUGUGAUCUGUCCUCAUGUUCCCAAACCACAGGUGACUGUACAUUCUCUGAUUAUUUGUGUGAUACAAAGAGUACACAGUGGAAAACAGGGAACAGGUGUGGGGAUACUUUCUUUUUGGCUAAAGAAAUGUUUUGCUUGAGUUUUAAAGGAAAAAGAGAGAUCUGAGUUUAUAUCUCAUUAAAAUAAUUUUUUCAAAGGCACUCAGAAAUCACACGUGUGUUCCGCGAGUACUAUUGUCGACGAUCUGAUGCUAAUAUGUUUUUCUAGCCGGCAAAGGUGGCAGCACUUGUGAAAGCUAGUUCGCAGAAUGGAGUCCUUAUGGAUGCCAUCUUGUGAGAAAAAGAAUUAAUUCGGACAAAAGUUAUUACUGAAGACUAUCAUUCUUUUAAACACCGGUGUUUCAGAUUAAGAGACGAUUAGAAUUUACUAGUCAUGAUUGUAGUGAAAGAACAUUUAUUGCACUCGGUGUCUUGACAAAUAUUUGGAUCCUAUAAACUCAUGCUGCCACCCUCGUCUGUCGCCGAGAUGAAGGUUGUGAGAUAAAAAAUCCGUGGUUUAUUGUAUCAUGUAAAAUAUGUAAUACUUUGCUACAUUGCUAUUUCGGCGCUUACUUUCCUUUUAAUAUCUGAUUAAUUGUCAGUGGCGAUCAAAUAAAGGGACUUACAACUUUUAAA